Molecule: ribosomal RNA, 504 nt
Filed under: uncultured bacterium
Lineage: Bacteria
Description: bacterial SSU rRNA
Rfam family: Bacterial small subunit ribosomal RNA
Source: RNAcentral
GAUGAACGCUAGCUACAGGCUUAACACAUGCAAGUCGAGGGGCAGCGGGAUUGAAGCUUGCUUCAAUUGCCGGCGACCGGCGCACGGGUGAGUAACGCGUAUCCAACCUUCCGUACACUCAGGGAUAGCCUUUCGAAAGAAAGAUUAAUACCUGAUGGUAUCUUAAGCACACAUGUAAUUAAGAUUAAAGAUUUAUCGGUGUACGAUGGGGAUGCGUUCCAUUAGGUAGUAGGCGGGGUAACGGCCCACCUAGCCAACGAUGGAUAGGGGUUCUGAGAGGAAGGUCCCCCACAUUGGAACUGAGACACGGUCCAAACUCCUACGGGAGGCAGCAGUGAGGAAUAUUGGUCAAUGGACGAGAGUCUGAACCAGCCAAGUAGCGUGCAGGAUGACGGCCCUAUGGGUUGUAAACUGCUUUUAUAAGGGAAUAAAGUGAGUCUCGUGAGACUUUUUGCAUGUACCUUAUGAAUAAGGACCGGCUAAUUCCGUGCCAGCAGCCGCGGU